RNAcentral lists this ribosomal RNA (399 nucleotides) under uncultured bacterium. RNAcentral describes it as "bacterial SSU rRNA". It matches the Rfam family "Bacterial small subunit ribosomal RNA", at positions 359 to 775 of the family's 1533-position model. The record is from RNAcentral.
GAAUAUUGGACAAUGGGCGAAAGCCUGAUCCAGCAAUGCCGCGUGAGUGAUGAAGGCCCUAGGGUUGUAAAGCUCUUUUACCCGGGAUGAUAAUGACAGUACCGGGAGAAUAAGCUCCGGCUAACUCCGUGCCAGCAGCCGCGGUAAUACGGAGGGAGCUAGCGUUGUUCGGAAUUACUGGGCGUAAAGCGCACGUAGGCGGCUACUCAAGUCAGGGGUGAAAUCCCGGAGCUUAACUCCGGAACUGCCUCUGAAACUAGGUGGCUAGAAUCUUGGAGAGGUCAGUGGAAUUCCGAGUGUAGAGGUGAAAUUCGUAGAUAUUCGGAAGAACACCAGUGGCGAAGGCGACUGACUGGACAAGUAUUGACGCUGAGGUGCGAAAGCGUGGGGAGCAAACAG